UACAGGGGGGGCAAGCGUUGUUCGGAAUUACUGGGCGUAAAGGGUCUGUAGGUGGCCAACUAAGUCAGACGUGAAAUCCCUCAGCUUAACUGGGGAACUGCGUCUGAUACUGGAUGGCUUGAGUUCGGGAGAGGGAUGCGGAAUUCCAGGUGUAGCGGUGAAAUGCGUAGAUAUCUGGAGGAACACCGGUGGCGAAGGCGGCAUCCUGGACCGAAACUGACGCUGAGGAGCGAAAGCCAGGGGAGCAAACGGG
Molecule: ribosomal RNA, 253 nt
Filed under: uncultured bacterium
Lineage: Bacteria
Description: partial 16S ribosomal RNA
Rfam family: Bacterial small subunit ribosomal RNA
Source: RNAcentral